GCGAUCGUAGCUCAGUUGGUUAGAGUACUGGAUUGUGGUUCCAGGUGUCGCGGGUUCAAAUCCCGUCGUUCGCCCA
This 76-nucleotide transfer RNA is filed under the name Chlamydiota bacterium. RNAcentral describes it as "Chlamydiae bacterium (freshwater metagenome) tRNA-His". It matches the Rfam family "tRNA". Rfam says of the family: Transfer RNA (tRNA) molecules are approximately 80 nucleotides in length. Their secondary structure includes four short double-helical elements and three loops (D, anti-codon, and T loops). The record is from RNAcentral. Lineage: Bacteria; Pseudomonadati; Chlamydiota.